RNAcentral lists this unclassified non-coding RNA (524 nucleotides) under uncultured Glomeromycotina. RNAcentral's name for it is "SSU rRNA". It matches the Rfam family "Eukaryotic small subunit ribosomal RNA", at positions 591 to 1114 of the family's 1831-position model. Lineage: Eukaryota; Fungi; Glomeromycota. The record is from RNAcentral.
CCAAUAGCGUAUAUUAAAGUUGUUGCAGUUACAAAGCUCGUAGUUGAACUUCGGGGUCUACCCAUUGGUCAGGCUUAAUUGUCUGUACUGGUGAGAUGGAUCUCUACCUUCUGAGGAACUUUCAUGCCAUUUAUUGGGUGUGGUUGGAAAUCAGGACUGUUACUUUGAAAAAAUUAGAGUGUUUAAAGCAGACUAUCGUCUGAAUACAUUAGCAUGGAAUAAUGAAAUAGGACGGACUGAUUCUAUUUCGUUGGUUUCUAGGAUCACCGUAAUGAUUAAUAGGGAUAGUUGGGUGGAUUAGUAUUCAAUUGUCAGAGGUGAAAUUCUUUGAUUUAUUGAAGACUAACUACUGCGAAAGCAUUUGCCAAGGAUGUUUUCAUUAAUCAAGAACGAAAGUUAGGGGAUCGAAGACGAUCAGAUACCGUCGUAGUCUUAACCAUAAACUAUGCCGACUAGGGAUCGGACGAAGUUAAUUUUAUAAUGACGCGUUCGGCACCUUACGGGAACCCAAACACUUUGGUUUC